This 232-nucleotide ribosomal RNA is filed under the name uncultured bacterium. RNAcentral describes it as "partial 16S ribosomal RNA". It matches the Rfam family "Bacterial small subunit ribosomal RNA", at positions 100 to 334 of the family's 1533-position model. The record is from RNAcentral.
GGACGGGGGAGUAAUGUCUGGGAAACUGCCUGAUGGAGGGGGGUAACUACUGGAAACGGUAGCUAAUACCGCAUAACGUCGCAAGACCAAAGAGGGGGACCGUUAGGGCCUCUUGCCAUCGGAUGUGCCCAGAUGGGAUUAGCUAGUAGGUGGGGUAACGGCUCACCUAGGCGACGAUCCCUAGCUGGUCUGAGAGGAUGACCAGCCACACUGGAACUGAGACACGGUCCAG